CUACGGGUUGCAGCAGUGGGGAAUAUUGCACAAUGGAGGAAACUCUGAUGCAGCAACGCCGCGUGGAGGAUGACACUUUUCGGAGCGUAAACUCCUUUUAUAUAGGAAGAAGAUGACGGUACUAUAUGAAUAAGCGCCGGCUAACUCCGUGCCAGCAGCCGCGGUAAUACGGAGGGCACAAGCGUUACUCGGAAUCACUGGGCGUAAAGAGAGUGUAGGCGGAUUAAAAAGUCAGAAGUGAAAUCCUAUAGCUUAACUAUAGAACUGCUUCUGAAACUCUUAAUCUAGAAUGUGGGAGAGGUAGAUGGAAUUUCUGGUGUAGGGGUACAAUCCGUAGAGAUCAGAAGGAAUACCGAUUGCGAAGGCGAUCUACUAGAACAUUAUUGACGCUGAGACGCGAAAGCGUGGGGAGCAAACAGGAUUAGAACCCUAGUAGUC
Molecule: ribosomal RNA, 438 nt
Filed under: uncultured bacterium
Lineage: Bacteria
Description: partial 16S ribosomal RNA
Rfam family: Bacterial small subunit ribosomal RNA
Source: RNAcentral